UCCCAGGUGGCUCAGCGGUAAAGUAUCUGCCUGCCAAGCAGGAGACAAAGGUUCAAUCCCUGGGUC
RNAcentral lists this transfer RNA (66 nucleotides) under Bos taurus (domestic cattle). It matches the Rfam family "tRNA". Rfam says of the family: Transfer RNA (tRNA) molecules are approximately 80 nucleotides in length. Their secondary structure includes four short double-helical elements and three loops (D, anti-codon, and T loops). The record is from Rfam by way of RNAcentral. Lineage: Eukaryota; Metazoa; Chordata; Mammalia; Artiodactyla; Bovidae.